RNAcentral lists this ribosomal RNA (486 nucleotides) under uncultured bacterium. Its description in RNAcentral is "bacterial SSU rRNA". It matches the Rfam family "Bacterial small subunit ribosomal RNA", at positions 20 to 518 of the family's 1533-position model. The record is from RNAcentral.
UGGCUCAGGACGAACGCUGGCGGCGUGCCUAACACAUGCAAGUCGAACGGAGUUGAGGAGCUUGCUCCUUAACUUAGUGGCGGACGGGUGAGUAACGCGUGAGUAACCUGCCUCUGAGAGGGGAAUAACGUUCUGAAAAGAACGCUAAUACCGCAUGACACAUAUUUGCCGCAUGACAGAUAUGUCAAAGAUUUUUAUCGCUCAGAGAUGGACUCGCGUCCGAUUAGUUAGUUGGUGAGGUAACGGCUCACCAAGACCGCGAUCGGUAGCCGGACUGAGAGGUUGAACGGCCACAUUGGGACUGAGACACGGCCCAGACUCCUACGGGAGGCAGCAGUGGGGGAUAUUGCGCAAUGGGGGCAACCCUGAACCGCAGCAACGCCGCGUGAAGGAUGAAGGUUUUCGGAUUGUAAACUUCUUUUCUCAGGGACGAAAUCUGACGGUACCUGAGGAAUAAGCUCCGGCUAACUACGUGCCAGCAGCGGC